AGUCGAGCGGAUGAGAGGAGCUUGCUCCUUGAUUUAGCGGCGGACGGGUGAGUAAUGCCUAGGAAUCUGCCUGGUAGUGGGGGAUAACGUCCGGAAACGGGCGCUAAUACCGCAUACGUCCUACGGGAGAAAGCAGGGGACCUUCGGGCCUUGCGCUAUCAGAUGAGCCUAGGUCGGAUUAGCUAGUUGGUGAGGUAAUGGCUCACCAAGGCGACGAUCCGUAACUGGUCUGAGAGGAUGAUCAGUCACACUGGAACUGAGACACGGUCCAGACUCCUACGGGAGGCAGCAGUGGGGAAUAUUGGACAAUGGGCGAAAGCCUGAUCCAGCCAUGCCGCGUGUGUGAAGAAGGUCUUCGGAUUGUAAAGCACUUUAAGUUGGGAGGAAGGGUUGUAGAUUAAUACUCUGCAAUUUUGACGUUACCGACAGAAUAAGCACCGGCUAACUUCGUGCCAGCAGCCGCGGUAAUACGAAGGGUGCAAGCGUUAAUCGGAAUUACUGGGCGUAAAGCGCGCGUAGGUGGUUCGUUAAGUUGGAUGUGAAAGCCCCGGGCUCAACCUGGGAACUGCAUCCCAAAACUGG
This 582-nucleotide ribosomal RNA is filed under the name Pseudomonas sp. 8BF. Its description in RNAcentral is "bacterial SSU rRNA". It matches the Rfam family "Bacterial small subunit ribosomal RNA", at positions 60 to 636 of the family's 1533-position model. The record is from RNAcentral. Lineage: Bacteria; Pseudomonadati; Pseudomonadota; Gammaproteobacteria; Pseudomonadales; Pseudomonadaceae.